RNAcentral lists this ribosomal RNA (253 nucleotides) under uncultured bacterium. Its description in RNAcentral is "partial 16S ribosomal RNA". It matches the Rfam family "Bacterial small subunit ribosomal RNA", at positions 524 to 776 of the family's 1533-position model. The record is from RNAcentral.
UACGUAGGGGGCUAGCGUUGUCCGGAAUCAUUGGGCGUAAAGCGCGUGUAGGCGGUCCGGUAAGUCCGCUGUGAAAGUCGGGGGCUCAACCCUCGGAUGCCGGUGGAUACUGUCGGGCUUGAGUACGGAAGAGGCGAGUGGAAUUCCUGGUGUAGCGGUGAAAUGCGCAGAUAUCAGGAGGAACACCGGUGGCGAAGGCGGAUCUCUGGGCCUUACCUGACGCUCAGGCGCGAAAGCUAGGGGAGCGAACAGG